This 415-nucleotide long non-coding RNA is filed under the name Homo sapiens (human). RNAcentral describes it as "non-protein coding lnc-SLC24A3-1:2". The record is from RNAcentral. Lineage: Eukaryota; Metazoa; Chordata; Mammalia; Primates; Hominidae.
CCCUUCCCUCCCCUCCUCCUCUUUCCUCUCCUCUCCCCUCCCCUCCCCUCCUUUCUCCCCCUUCCUCCUCUUCCUCCUCCUCCUCUUGCUCCUCCCGGGCGGGGAAACCCAGCCCCGCGCUCGUCUUUGGGGCCACCGGUCGCCCCCGCCUCCGGGACCUGCGGGGAGGGCCCGCGAGAGAUGGAGACGAGAGAUCUGGACUUCUGAACAUCUACCGGAAAAGAUAAAAUGUGCAAGCCCUUCAGAACGCUGGGGAGGUUGGGCUGAACUGCAGUGGGAGAGGAGAAGAGAUGCUGGCGUGAAGGGCUGGGGCAGAAGAUCAGGGGAAAAUUGCGGAUGAUCUGAAUGAUAGCAGUGACCACCAGCAACCUACAGAGCUGCCCAACCAGGAAAUUGUCAGAUGGAAGCAACGCUU